ACCUGGGUGGCUCAGUCGGUUAAGCGUCUGACUUUGGCUCAGGUCAUGAUCUCACAGUUCGUGGGUUCGAGCCCCGCGUCAGGCU
RNAcentral lists this transfer RNA (85 nucleotides) under Felis catus (domestic cat). It matches the Rfam family "tRNA". From Rfam's summary of the family: Transfer RNA (tRNA) molecules are approximately 80 nucleotides in length. Their secondary structure includes four short double-helical elements and three loops (D, anti-codon, and T loops). Further hydrogen bonds mediate the characteristic L-shaped molecular structure. tRNAs have two regions of fundamental functional importance: the anti-codon, which is responsible for specific mRNA codon recognition, and the 3' end, to which the tRNAs corresponding amino acid is attached (by aminoacyl-tRNA synthetases). tRNAs cope with the degeneracy of the genetic code in two manners: having more than one tRNA (with a specific anti-codon) for a particular amino acid; and 'wobble' base-pairing, i.e. permitting non-standard base-pairing at the 3rd anti-codon position. The record is from Rfam by way of RNAcentral. Lineage: Eukaryota; Metazoa; Chordata; Mammalia; Carnivora; Felidae.